This 127-nucleotide transfer-messenger RNA is filed under the name Betaproteobacteria bacterium. RNAcentral describes it as "partial transfer-messenger RNA". It matches the Rfam family "transfer-messenger RNA", at positions 236 to 374 of the family's 374-position model. From Rfam's summary of the family: Bacterial tmRNA, also known as 10Sa RNA or SsrA, is named for its dual tRNA and mRNA-like properties. Its role is to liberate the mRNA from a stalled ribosome. Lineage: Bacteria; Pseudomonadati; Pseudomonadota; Betaproteobacteria. The record is from RNAcentral.
AGGUGACUCGUUCCGUACCAGCCCGCCGGUUGGCGUGUCCGGGAUUAAAUCAAACAGCCAGGCUAAGUAUGUAGAACUGCCUGUAGAGGGCUUGCGGACGCGGGUUCAAUUCCCGCCGUCUCCACCA